CCUACGGGCGGCAGCAGUAGGGAAUCUUGCUCAAUGGGCGAAAGCCUGAAGCAGCAACGCCGCGUGGAGGAUGAAGGUUUUCGGAUUGUAAACUCCUUUUGUUAGAGAAGAAAAUGACGGUAUCUAACGAAUAAGCAUCGGCUAACUACGUGCCAGCAGCCGCGGUAAUACGGAGGGUCCAAGCGUUAUUCGGAAUCACUGGGCGUAAAGAGCGCGUAGGCGGGAUAGCAAGUCAGAUGUGAAAUCCUGUGGCUUAACCAUAGAACUGCAUUUGAAACUGUUAUUCUAGAGUAUGGGAGAGGUAGGUGGAAUUCUUGGUGUAGGGGUAAAAUCCGUAGAGAUCAAGAGGAAUACUCAUUGCGAAGGCGAGUUGCUAGAACAUUACUGACGCUGAUGCGCGAAAGCGUGGGGAGCAAACAGGAUUAGAUACCCUAGUAGUC
This 440-nucleotide ribosomal RNA is filed under the name uncultured bacterium. RNAcentral's name for it is "partial 16S ribosomal RNA". It matches the Rfam family "Bacterial small subunit ribosomal RNA", at positions 338 to 795 of the family's 1533-position model. The record is from RNAcentral.